UACGAAGGGGGCUAGCGUUGCUCGGAAUUACUGGGCGUAAAGCGCGUGUAGGCGGCUAUGCAAGUCGGGCGUGAAAUCCCACGGCUCAACCGUGGAAGUGCACUCGAAACUGCGUAGCUAGAGUCCCGGAGAGGAAGGUGGAAUACUUGGUGUAGAGGUGAAAUUCGUAGAUAUCAAGUGGAACACCGGUGGCGAAGGCGGCCUUCUGGACGGUGACUGACGCUGAGACGCGAAA
This 235-nucleotide ribosomal RNA is filed under the name uncultured prokaryote. RNAcentral describes it as "partial 16S ribosomal RNA". It matches the Rfam family "Bacterial small subunit ribosomal RNA", at positions 524 to 758 of the family's 1533-position model. The record is from RNAcentral.